This 264-nucleotide ribosomal RNA is filed under the name uncultured bacterium. RNAcentral describes it as "partial 16S ribosomal RNA". It matches the Rfam family "Bacterial small subunit ribosomal RNA", at positions 90 to 354 of the family's 1533-position model. The record is from RNAcentral.
ACUUAGCGGCGGACGGGUGAGUAACGCGUGGGCAACCUGCCUUACACAGGGGGAUAACAAUUAGAAAUGAUUGCUAAUACCGCAUAAGACCCCAGUACCGCAUGGUACAGGGGUAAAAACUGAGGUGGUGUAAGAUGGGCCCGCGUCUGAUUAGGUAGUUGGUGGGGUAGAAGCCUACCAAGCCGACGAUCAGUAGCCGACCUGAGAGGGCGACCGGCCACAUUGGGACUGAGACACGGCCCAGACUCCUACGGGAGGCAGCAG